AUGGCCAUGACCACGACCACGCCCUCGCAAUCCCAUUCCCAGCCGCUUCCAGUAAUCCUACUCCUGUUCCUCCUCCUUUCAGCGGCGAUUCCUCACUUGAUCCUGGAGGCUGCUGCUGCUGAGCAAGAUGAGCAGCAGCCGAUCACACUUGCGGAUUGCCCCAACAAGUGCGGCAACAUGAGCAUUCCCUACCCGUUCGGCAUGAAGCCUGGCUGCUUCCGCGAGGGCUUCCAGGUCACCUGCAAUGACUCCUUCAAUCCUCAUCGCGCCUACCUUGCCAACAGCGGAGCAUAUCAGCAUAUAUUCGAGGAGCACGACAGGGUGGAGCCAGAGUGGAGUCAAGUUUGGAAUAGAUCACUGGAUAAUACGGCGUUUGAGCUCAUCGAUAUAUCCAUUGCAAAUGGUGAGGCGCGAGCCUAUGGCGCGGUAUCAUCUGUCUGCAGCCAAAAUCGAAACGAUUACAUAAGCAAUAAUCAAAUGAUGCAUUUGGGCAACAAGAUAAGUCCGUUCCUCCUGUCGACAGAGCGCAAUGUUCUCAUCGGCGUCGGCUGGAGAGUCCAGAUUAGGGUCUAUAGCCAUCUAUGGUCGCCGUCAGUACCUGGCAACUCACAGAAGGAAUUAAUGCUCUCCUGCAUUUCAGAUCUCAUGGAGCCGCAGUUCCUCGCGUUCGCGACCAACGGGUCAUGCAAGGGGCGGGGCUGCUGUGAAGCUGCCUUGCCGGAAGCGCUUCCCAUCACCGUGCUUGGUCUGGCGUUCACUAUGAGCCAAACAAACACGUUGUUUAAGACCAACCCGUGCUCCUACGCCAUGGUGGUGGAGAGCUUAUGGUACAACUUCUCCACGCCAGACAUGUAUGGCUACGAGGUGCUACCCAAUAGAUACCCGAGGGGCGUCCCUUUCGUGAUCGAUUUCUCCAUCCCGAACGGUUCAUGUCCGGCGAAAGGCCAACCGCCACCUCCAGACUACGCCUGCGUCAGCGGCAACAGCUCCUGUGCCAACGCGACUAGUGGCCAGGGGUAUGUCUGCAAAUGCUUGGACCAUUACGAUGGCAACCCUUACAUCGUCAAUGGAUGCCAAGACAUCAAUGAGUGCAAGCUCCGCGAUUUGUAUCCUUGCUCCGCUGACGGGGUAUGCAAAAAUAGGUUAGGAGGCUAUGAUUGUCCAUGUAAACCAGGAAUGAAAGGCGACGGCAUUAAAGGAACCUGCGCAGAUAAAUUCCCCAUAGCAGCACGGGUGAUUUUGGGUGGAAUAGGUGGUGUUUUUGUCAUUGCAGCAAUAUCAUUGCUUAUUCUUCUUCACAAAGAGAAAAAGAAAACUAGAGAAUUUUAUGAGAAGAACGGUGGGCGAACAUUAGAGAAGGCAAAUUUCAUAAAACUGUUUGAGAAGGAGAAGCUCAAGCCAAUUUUGAAGAGUAGCAAUUUUAUUGGAAAAGGUGCCUUCGGUGAAGUUUACAAGGGCCUUCUUGAUAAUGAACAAGUCGCUGUUAAGAAACCUAUUACUGGUAGUGUGCUGGAGAAUGAACAAUUUGCAAAUGAAGUCAUCAUUCAAUCUCAAAUCAUCCACAAGAACAUCGUUAGGCUUGUGGGUUGUUGCCUAGAAGUUGAUGCCCCGAUUCUAGUCUAUGAGUUUCUCUGCAAUGGUAGCCUCGAUGACAUUCUUCAUGACAACAGGAAGGUGCCUCUGAACUUGGGUGUGCGUUUAAGUAUUGCCGCAGAAUCAGCUGAUGGUCUGGUUUAUAUGCACUCAAAAACCAGUACCAAGAUCCUACAUGGUGAUGUUAAACCAGCAAAUAUACUUUUGGAUGAUAAGUUUGUGCCAAAGAUCUCAGAUUUUGGCAUAUCAAGGUUGAUUGCGAGAGACAUACAACAUACUGGAUCUAUCAUUGGUGACAUGAGUUAUAUGGAUCCAGUAUAUCUGCAAACAGGGCUACUAACAGAAAAAAGUGAUGUCUAUAGUUUUGGAGUUGUCAUCUUGGAGCUUAUUAGUAGGAAGAAAGCCACACAUUCCGACGGCGGUAGCUUAGUAAACAAUUUCCUUGAAGCUUACAAGAAAGAGAAGAAAGCAACUCCAUUAUUUGACGAGGAAAUUGCGGUAACAGAAGACUUGGAGAUUCUUGAUAGCUUGGCCUCUAUCGCUGUGGAAUGUCUUAACCUUGAUGUGGAUCAAAGACCAUGGAUGACAGACGUAGCAGAGCGUCUUAUCAUACUGGAUCGAUCCCGUAAGUCACAAUUUACGCUGCAUGUUCCAGUUUGA
RNAcentral lists this ribosomal RNA (2253 nucleotides) under Triticum aestivum (bread wheat). Its description in RNAcentral is "partial small subunit ribosomal RNA". Lineage: Eukaryota; Viridiplantae; Streptophyta; Magnoliopsida; Poales; Poaceae. The record is from RNAcentral.